RNAcentral lists this non-coding RNA (144 nucleotides) under human gut metagenome. The record is from RNAcentral.
UGUGGCCCGUGAGGAGCGGGCUGAACAAGGGAAGCCGGUGAGAAUCCGGCGCAGACGCGCUACUGUGAAAGUUGAUAUAGGCUUUGCAUUCAUGCCAUUGCGAAAGCGAGAAGGCGCAAAGCUGACGAAGCCAGGAGACCUACA